AUUGAACGCUGGCGGCAUGCUUUACACAUGCAAGUCGAACGGCAGCGCGGGCUUCGGCCUGGCGGCGAGUGGCGAACGGGUGAGUAAUGCAUCGGAACGUGCCCCGUAGUGGGGGAUAGCCCGGCGAAAGCCGGAUUAAUACCGCAUACGACCUGAGGGUGAAAGCGGGGGACCGAAAGGCCUCGCGCUAUUGGAGCGGCCGAUGUCGGAUUAGCUAGUUGGUGGGGUAAAGGCUUACCAAGGCGACGAUCCGUAGCUGGUCUGAGAGGACGACCAGCCACACUGGGACUGAGACACGGCCCAGACUCCUACGGGAGGCAGCAGUGGGGAAUUUUGGACAAUGGGGGCAACCCUGAUCCAGCCAUGCCGCGUGCGGGAAGAAGGCCUUCGGGUUGUAAACCGCUUUUGUUCGGGAAGAAAUCCUCUGGGCUAAUACCCCGGGGGGAUGACGGUACCGGAAGAAUAAGCACCGGCUAACUACGUG
This 484-nucleotide ribosomal RNA is filed under the name uncultured bacterium. RNAcentral's name for it is "partial 16S ribosomal RNA". It matches the Rfam family "Bacterial small subunit ribosomal RNA", at positions 28 to 507 of the family's 1533-position model. The record is from RNAcentral.